This 293-nucleotide ribosomal RNA is filed under the name uncultured bacterium. RNAcentral describes it as "partial 16S ribosomal RNA". The record is from RNAcentral.
GGACUACCGGGGUAUCUAAUCCUGUUUGCUCCCCAAGCCUACGUACCUCAACGUCAGUCUUCCUCAGAUUGUUGCUUUCGCUUUCGUUCUUCCCCCUAGUAUCCCUGUAUUUCACUUCUACUCUGUGAGUUCCACAAUCCUCUUCUCAACUCUAGCUCGAUGGUUGGCCCUAUCUACUUCACAGUUGCGCUGUUGCCUUGUGAUAGCUCCCUUCUCUUGCCGUCUACGUACCCCUUACGCCCAAUCACAAUGAAUAACACUCGCCCUCCCCGUUUUACCGCGGCGGCUGGCAC